This 332-nucleotide unclassified non-coding RNA is filed under the name Hevea brasiliensis (rubber tree). The record is from RNAcentral. Lineage: Eukaryota; Viridiplantae; Streptophyta; Magnoliopsida; Malpighiales; Euphorbiaceae.
GAAGCCGAGCCGAAUAAGGAAAAUCAUAAAAGGUGCUUGGAGGUAUCAAGCUUUUUGAAGGCAGAAGGGGCCCACUUACCCGGCGUUGUCAACUGAAGCCAGCUGUGUCGCUUCUUGCAGAUAUGAAAUGGGCGCUAAACUGUGUUUUUUAACACGUGGAGCUUUGUCAUUGGAGAAUUGUUUUUAAUCUGAUCUAUAUUGUAUAAACAAACCUAAACGCGCGGUUUGGUUUGUAAAAAAAAAAAAUUAUUUAUUUAAUUUUAAUUAAAAUUUAAACUUAAUUCUUCACCUUUCUAUUAAUUUAUUUUAGAAAACUGGCACUUUGUUUUUAA